GUUUGCGUCAACAUGCAAAGGACAUGGCUUGAACAUCCUGCUUUAUUGUUCGAAUGAUUUUAACAGUAGGUCCCGGACAGACAUACCUGCAGUGCCGCCCCCAAGGACAUUGAAAUAACCCAGACAGCCGAGUUGGGACAGCUCAUUGGCGUUAUCGCAAAGCUGACACGACUGAGUUCUUCGGAGGGCACAAUCCGCUGCGGGGAAGCACACAACCAUAUGAUCGAUCAUCCAUGAUCGCCUGCACGUACUGUUUUUUUUUUGCCUACACAUCUAGGAGAUGCCUUACAUUUCUGGAAGUGGUGUAUACAGCGUGAGAGGAUUUAAUCGAUGGGGCUUGCCUGGCGAUCUUCACUUCUU
RNAcentral lists this long non-coding RNA (360 nucleotides) under Dunaliella salina. RNAcentral's name for it is "long non-coding RNA (DSAL_LNC000290)". The record is from RNAcentral. Lineage: Eukaryota; Viridiplantae; Chlorophyta; Chlorophyceae; Chlamydomonadales; Dunaliellaceae.